UGAGGGAAGGACUUGGGGAAUUAUUACUGUGUACACUUGUGCUGGUGCUGCAGAGUUCUUUCUUCUAGGGACAUGCCCUCUCCCUCCAAUUAAAUAUAUUCUAGGUCCAAAAACUGGUUCAAGUCCAGAAACUGGGCAAGUGAUCAUGACUUUGUAUCAGAGCAUCAGCCUUUAACCUCUUGAUCAUCCAUUGUUGGCUUAAUUUGGUUGUUCAGAUUGAAGACUUUCUUUGAUGGUUGCCCAUUUCUUUUGCUCCAGAUGGCUUAUUUGUCAUCUCCAAAACAUCUGUGGGUAAAGCCCCCUGGACUGCCGCUCUUGCCUUGCAGUGUCCAUUUGGCUGUUGAAGUUUGAGUGCCAUCAUGUCACUUCAGUGUUACAAGGUUCCAUCAUCUCUACUGUUCUCAGUGAACCCAGUUCUGAAAUGGUAUCUUCUGUCUUCACCCUGGACUACAGGGAGAACCACUGCUGAGUCUUAGAGUGAUGCUGAUUCCUCUCUAACCAGAUAAUGCCUUAUUGAUUUGGAAGGAUAAAGGCUUACCUCCUCAGCAGGACUCCUCAGAUGGGGCAUGAUAUGCCCUGUUCUUGCAUCUGCAGGAUCACAGAUGACAAAUUCCUCAUCUCAACACAUCCAUGUUGUUUUCUCUGUCUGUGGGUCGCACCUGACUUUUUAAAGCUUCAGGGCCUUUGCACAGGCUGUUUCCUCUGCUUGGAAUGCUUUCUGCCCUCUCUGCCUGGACAAUUUGCAUUCUUUUUUUUUUUUUUUUUGAGAUGGAGUUUUGCUCCUGUUGCCCAGGCUGGAGGGCAAUGAUGUGACCUUGGCUCACCGCAACCUCCGCCUCCUGGGUUCAAGCAAUUCUCCCACCUUAGCCUCCCGAGUAGCUGGGAUUACAGGUAUGCACCACUAUGCCCGGCUAAUUUUGUAUUUUUAGUAGAGAUGGGGUUUCUCCAUGUUGGUCAGGCUGGUCUUGAACUCCUGACCUCAGGUGAUCUGCCUGCCUUGGCCUCCCAAAGUGCUGGGAUUGCAUUUAUUUUUAAGGUUUUUGUCUAAAUGUUUCUUUCUCAGAGAGGCAUUCCCUAACCCUCAAUGUAGAUCAAGGCCACUUGUUAUAUGCUCUCACAAUGCCUGUCGUCUGUAGCUGGCCUUUUCAGCACUUAUCAUCGUGAUAACAACAUAGUUAUUUAUGUGUUUAGCUGUUCAGUGCCUGUCUCUCUCCCUCUGCCACGUUUUAUGAAGGCAAGAACUAUGGCUAUUUUCUUCUUUCCUCUUUCCCCAGCACUUAAUGCCUGACAUGGGAGCUUAAUACAUAUUUGUUGAUUGAAUAAAUAAAUGGUAAUAGUGA
This is a long non-coding RNA of Homo sapiens (human), 1340 nucleotides long. RefSeq lists it as uncharacterized. The transcript has 2 exons. The record is from RefSeq and is a predicted model, not a curated record. NCBI's taxonomy places the organism in Eukaryota, Metazoa, Chordata, Mammalia, Primates, Hominidae.